GGGCUCAGUCGCGUCGGGCCUCCUGAGGGGGCUGCGAGUGUCAGUCGGCUCUCCGCACGUGUCCGCGGCCUCGCGGAGCAGUCUACCCCUGGCUGGUUUCUGCUUCCACCUCCUGAUCUGGCAGAGCACUGUAAGCUAUUUGGCAUAUGAAGGUCUUGACCUGAGAAAACCAUCUUGGAUAACCACAGCAAGGAAAAGGAAAAAUGCAACACCUAGGAGAUUUCAGUAAACAGUAGAAUCAUGCCAACCUAAUCUGUGUUAAAAUGCUUGGAAUGUGGGAGCCGCUGAUGAUGCCUGUUGUCUGUGUGUCUGACUGAAUCCUUUCUUUUCUCAGAGCAGCAAAGCAAAGCCUGGGAACCAGGCCAAAUGCCUGCCACUUACCUUAAAUUGAUCAGCCACUUUGAGAUUAAAACCCCUGAAAGCUGCCACACCGUGGAAACAAGGCCUCCUUCACAUUAAAGGCAAAUUGCGACUUUG
This is a long non-coding RNA of Piliocolobus tephrosceles (Ugandan red Colobus), 477 nucleotides long. RefSeq lists it as uncharacterized. Lineage: Eukaryota; Metazoa; Chordata; Mammalia; Primates; Cercopithecidae. The record is from RefSeq and is a predicted model, not a curated record. The transcript has 3 exons.